This 789-nucleotide long non-coding RNA is filed under the name Danio rerio (zebrafish). RNAcentral's name for it is "si:ch211-260g14.9 (ENSDARG00000096747.2)". Lineage: Eukaryota; Metazoa; Chordata; Actinopteri; Cypriniformes; Danionidae. The record is from RNAcentral.
UUGUCGCCCAGUUUGCUGCUUCGACGGUCAAGCGCUUUUUGGUCCCAACCCAUGUCCAAUGGCCGUCAAUCUUCCUAAUGCCAAUCCAGUAGUAUGCCCGAUGGAAGGGGAGGAUUUCGUUGAGGUAUGCAAUUUCUGCCUGGUUUUGGAUGGCCACCAUAUCCGUGAAAUGCGUUUGACACCACUGACGAGCUGCUGUCCAGUCCAACUUACUGUCGAUGUUGUAAUGAUCAGAGUGGAGGAGCUGGAGUCUCGCAGAUUGUAUCCUUCAUCACACACAAACGUACAGCUGGACAGAUAGCUGAACUGACCCAUCGGAUGAUUACAAUACAUGUCACCUUCCAGUGGUUUGGCCAGCUCUGGGCAUUGAACAACUGUAAAAAAGUCAACAGAUAUUUCAAGAUCAGCGUAGAGGAGCUGGAGUUCUGCAGUUUGUAUCCUUCAUCACACACAAACUCACAGCUGGACUGAUAGCUGAACUGACCCAUCGGAUGAUUACAUUGCAUGCCACCUUUCUGUGGAUUGGCCAACUCUGAGCAUUGAACAACUGCAAAGAAAUUCCACAGAAAUUUCAAGCUGGUCUCUGAAACUCCUGUGAGGAUGAAUCCUUCUCCACAACUGAAGCUGCAUUUACUCCCAUAACUAAAGCUUAAAGUGCAGCUGAGAUCGCCAUUGACAGGUUUUUCAAGGGCUGGACACUGAACAACUGAAUGAUCAGAGUAGAAGAGCUGGAGUCUCGCAGUUUGUAUCCUUCAUCACACACAAACUCACAGCUGGACUGAUAGCUGA